Molecule: ribosomal RNA, 503 nt
Filed under: uncultured bacterium
Lineage: Bacteria
Description: partial 16S ribosomal RNA
Rfam family: Bacterial small subunit ribosomal RNA
Source: RNAcentral
AUUGAACGCUGGCGGCAGGCUUAACACAUGCAAGUCGAGCGGGGUGAUGGUGCUUGCACUAUCACUUAGCGGCGGACGGGUGAGUAAUGCUUAGGAAUCUGCCUAUUAGUAGGGGACAACAUCUCGAAAGGGAUGCUAAUACCGCAUACGUCCUACGGGAGAAAGCAGGGGAUCACUUGUGACCUUGCGCUAAUAGAUGAGCCUAGGUCGGAUUAGCUAGUUGGUGGGGUAAAGGCCUACCAAGGCGACGAUCUGUAGCGGGUCUGAGAGGAUGAUCCGCCACACUGGGACUGAGACACGGCCCAGACUCCUACGGGAGGCAGCAGUGGGGAAUAUUGGACAAUGGGGGGAACCCUGAUCCAGCCAUGCCGCGUGUGUGAAGAAGGCCUUAUGGUUGUAAAGCACUUUAAGCGGGGAGGAGGCUCUUUUGGUUAAUACCCAAGAUGAGUGGACGUUACUCGCAGAAUAAGCACCGGCUAACUCUGUGCCAGCCGCCGCAGUAA